CACGGGGGGAGCAAGCGUUGUUCGGAAUCACUGGGCGUAAAGGGCGUGUAGGCGGCUAGGUUAGUGGGAUGUGAAAUGCCUCGGCUCACCCGAGGACCGGCAUCCCAAACUGCCUGGCUUGAGUAUGGGAGAGGAUGUGGGAAUUCCUGGUGUAGCGGUGAAAUGCGUAGAUAUCAGGAGGAACACCGGUGGCGAAGGCGCACAUCUGGCCCAAUACUGACGCUGAUGCGCGAAAGCUAGGGGAGCAAACGGG
RNAcentral lists this ribosomal RNA (253 nucleotides) under uncultured bacterium. Its description in RNAcentral is "partial 16S ribosomal RNA". It matches the Rfam family "Bacterial small subunit ribosomal RNA", at positions 524 to 776 of the family's 1533-position model. The record is from RNAcentral.